RNAcentral lists this ribosomal RNA (274 nucleotides) under uncultured bacterium. RNAcentral's name for it is "partial 16S ribosomal RNA". It matches the Rfam family "Bacterial small subunit ribosomal RNA", at positions 523 to 796 of the family's 1533-position model. The record is from RNAcentral.
AGACGGGGGGUGCUAGCGUUAUCCGGAUUCAUUGGGUUUAAAGGGUCCGCAGGCGGGGAAAUAAGUCAGUGGUGAAAGCCUACAGCUCAACUGUAGAACUGCCAUUGAUACUGUUUUUCUUGAGUAUAGAUGAAGUGGGCGGAAUAUAUCAUGUAGCGGUGAAAUGCAUAGAUAUGAUAUAGAACACCGAUUGCGAAGGCAGCUCACUAAACUAUUACUGACGCUCAGGGACGAAAGCGUGGGGAGCGAACAGGAUUAGAAACCCUAGUAGUCC